Molecule: long non-coding RNA, 503 nt
Organism: Oreochromis aureus
Lineage: Eukaryota; Metazoa; Chordata; Actinopteri; Cichliformes; Cichlidae
Source: Ensembl
GUUCAAUGAAGAGCACUGACUAUAAGAAAUUACUGUCUACAGGAAGCAUGCUGCUUAAAGCAAAACUGGGAGGUGUGCAGAAAUUUGCUAGAGUAUCUGAGCCAAGCCUUGAGGAAUUUUGAUUGCCGGUCUGGAAACAGCUGCUGCAGAAGUGUCUCCUGAGCAGUCCCAGUUAUCAUUGCCACAUUCAUCAGAUUCACAGGAUACGGUCAUCCUUUCAGACAGCCCUUUAGGAAACGUCAGAAGCUGGAUGUAGAAGAUAAGCAAUUGGUGGAAUCGAUUCUCACCAGCAAACCUGGUGGAGAAUAUAUAAUAAAUGAAUACAAUCGGACCAAGUCCCUGGUGGAUGAAACCAGAAGAAAAACAUACUGGUCAACAUACUGGUAGCUGACUUGACAGAAAAAAAUGGUACAUCACCACCACGACAGGUAAAAGAAAUGUAUGCCAGAGGAAUUGUAACCUUUUUCCCUUACCUCAGUGGCCCGUACUCCAAAAAUGGCUAU